AGCACUUGAAUUUGUUUUUGUCUGUCUUUUAGACAAAGACACAGAAAAGUGCAAAAAAUAAAUCCUCUUUUGCAACCCAAAACUCAUUGUUUAGUAUGAGUUUUGAUACAUAUAAGAAGGAAUAUU
Molecule: small nucleolar RNA, 126 nt
Organism: Tupaia belangeri (northern tree shrew)
Lineage: Eukaryota; Metazoa; Chordata; Mammalia; Scandentia; Tupaiidae
Source: Ensembl